This 468-nucleotide ribosomal RNA is filed under the name uncultured bacterium. Its description in RNAcentral is "partial 16S ribosomal RNA". It matches the Rfam family "Bacterial small subunit ribosomal RNA", at positions 28 to 507 of the family's 1533-position model. The record is from RNAcentral.
GACGAACGCUGGCGGCGUGCUUAACACAUGCAAGUCGAACGGAAAGGCCCUGCUUUUGUGGGGUGCUCGAGUGGCGAACGGGUGAGUAACACGUGAGUAACCUGCCCUUGACUUUGGGAUAACUUCAGGAAACUGGGGCUAAUACCGGAUAGGAGCUCCUGCUGCAUGGUGGGGGUUGGAAAGUUUCGGCGGUUGGGGAUGGACUCGCGGCUUAUCAGCUUGUUGGUGGGGUAGUGGCUUACCAAGGCUUUGACGGGUAGCCGGCCUGAGAGGGUGACCGGCCACAGUGGGACUGAGAUACGGCCCAGACUCCUACGGGAGGCAGCAGUGGGGAAUAUUGCACAAUGGGCGGAAGCCUGAUGCAGCAACGCCGCGUGCGGGAUAACGGCCUUCGGGUUGUAAACCGCUUUCGCCUGUGACGAAGCGUGAGUGACGGUAAUGGGUAAAGAAGCACCGGCUAACUACGUG